This 264-nucleotide ribosomal RNA is filed under the name uncultured bacterium. RNAcentral describes it as "partial 16S ribosomal RNA". It matches the Rfam family "Bacterial small subunit ribosomal RNA", at positions 89 to 354 of the family's 1533-position model. The record is from RNAcentral.
UGGCGACCGGCGCACGGGUGAGUAACACGUAUCCAACCUGCCGAUGACUCGGGGAUAGCCUUUCGAAAGAAAGAUUAAUACCCGAUGGCAUAGUUCUUCCGCAUGGUGGAACUAUUAAAGAAUUUCGGUCAUCGAUGGGGAUGCGUUCCAUUAGCUUGUUGGCGGGGUAACGGCCCACCAAGGCAUCGAUGGAUAGGGGUUCUGAGAGGAAGGUCCCCCACAUUGGAACUGAGACACGGUCCAAACUCCUACGGGAGGCAGCAG